CCUUGAGGCGUGGCUUCCGGAGCUAACGCGUUAAGUCGACCGCCUGGGGAGUACGGCCGCAAGGUUAAAACUCAAAUGAAUUGACGGGGGCCCGCACAAGCGGUGGAGCAUGUGGUUUAAUUCGAUGCAACGCGAAGAACCUUACCUGGUCUUGACAUCCACGGAAGUUUUCAGAGAUGAGAAUGUGCCUUCGGGAACCGUGAGACAGGUGCUGCAUGGCUGUCGUCAGCUCGUGUUGUGAAAUGUUGGGUUAAGUCCCGCAACGAGCGCAACCCUUAUCCUUUGUUGCCAGCGGUCCGGCCGGGAACUCAAAGGAGACUGCCAGUGAUAAACUGGAGGAAGGUGGGGAUGACGUCAAGUCAUCAUGGCCCUUACGACCAGGGCUACACACGUGCUACAAUGGCGCAUACAAAGAGAAGCGACCUCGCGAGAGCAAGCGGACCUCAUAAAGUGCGUCGUAGUCCGGAUUGGAGUCUGCAACUCGACUCCAUGAAGUCGGAAUCGCUAGUAAUCGUGGAUCAGAAUGCCACGGUGAAUACGUUCCCGGGCCUUGUACACACCGCCCGUCACACCAUGGGAGUGGGUUGCAAAAGAAGUAGGUAGCUUAACCUUCGGGAGGGCGCUUACCACUUUGUGAUUCAUGACUGGGGUGAAGUCGUAACAAGGUAACCGUAGGGGAACC
This 682-nucleotide ribosomal RNA is filed under the name Escherichia coli. RNAcentral describes it as "bacterial SSU rRNA". It matches the Rfam family "Bacterial small subunit ribosomal RNA", at positions 830 to 1512 of the family's 1533-position model. Lineage: Bacteria; Pseudomonadati; Pseudomonadota; Gammaproteobacteria; Enterobacterales; Enterobacteriaceae. The record is from RNAcentral.